This is a small nuclear RNA of Microcebus murinus (gray mouse lemur), 162 nucleotides long. Its record names the gene U2. It matches the Rfam family "U2 spliceosomal RNA". Rfam says of the family: U2 is a small nuclear RNA (snRNA) component of the spliceosome (involved in pre-mRNA splicing). Lineage: Eukaryota; Metazoa; Chordata; Mammalia; Primates; Cheirogaleidae. The record is from Ensembl.
AUCACUUCUCAGGCUUUUGGGUAAGGUCAUGUGUAGUAUCUGUUCUUAUCAGUUUAAUAUCUGAUAUGGUCUCUAUUUGAGGACACAAUAUUAAAUGGACUUUUGGAACCAGGAGAUGGAACAGGAACUUGCUCCAUCUAGUCCAUGUAUGGUCCAAAAUAA